UAGAUCUGGAAUGAAGUUUCAAUGACCAAGGAACUGUGGAGGACAAAUAGAUCAGCUGGCCUACGUCUCACCAAAUGAGUACUGCUUUGAUGGAGGGGCGAAGUCUGUGGUGUGUACUGUGUCAUCAGACUGUACCAUGCGUGCCUGGGAUCUGCAUGAGGUAAGCAUCUGUGUCGUGCAGUGCCAGCGGAGGACAGAAGAGGCUGUUGGAUCCCCUGGAACUG
Nannospalax galili (Upper Galilee mountains blind mole rat) is the source of this 224-nucleotide long non-coding RNA. RefSeq lists it as uncharacterized. The record is from RefSeq and is a predicted model, not a curated record. NCBI's taxonomy places the organism in Eukaryota, Metazoa, Chordata, Mammalia, Rodentia, Spalacidae. The transcript is spliced from 3 exons.